CAUCAGGUGGGAUUACCCGCUGAACUUAAGCAUAUCAAUAAGCGGAGGAAAAGAAACUAACAAGGAUUCCCCUAGUAACGGCGAGUGAAGAGGGAAAAGCCCAAAUUUGUAAUCUGGCUCUUUUAGAGUCCGAGUUGUAAUUUUGAGAACUGUUUUCAGUGCUGGACCAUGUUUAAGUCUGUUGAAAAACAGCAUCAUUGAGGGUGAUAAUCCCGUUCAUGAUAUGGACUACCAGUACUUUAUGAUACAGUCUCUAAGAGUCGAGUUGUUUGGGAAUGCAGCUCAAAGUGGGUGGUAAAUUCCAUCUAAGGCUAAAUAUAGGUGAGAGACCGAUAGCAAACAAGUACCGUGAGGGAAAGAUGAAAAGAACUUUGGAAAGAGAGUUAACAGUACGUGAAAUUGCUGAAAGGGAAACAAUUGAAGUUAGCCUUGUUAUUGUCAGUUCAGCUCUUUUAGAGUGUAUUCUGAUGAUUAACGACCAACAUCAGUCUUUGAGUGCUGGAUAAGGGUUUUGGAAAUGUAGCAGUCUCGGCUGUGUUAUAGUCCAUUACUUUGAUACAGUGCUUGGGAUUGAGGAUCGCAGUAAGCCAUUUUAUGGUGGACCAAAUUUUUGGUCUUCUUACUGAGGAUGUUGGUGAAAUAGCUUUAAAUGACCCA
This 657-nucleotide ribosomal RNA is filed under the name Neophysopella vitis. RNAcentral describes it as "partial large subunit ribosomal RNA". It matches the Rfam family "Eukaryotic large subunit ribosomal RNA", at positions 1 to 651 of the family's 3401-position model. The record is from RNAcentral. Lineage: Eukaryota; Fungi; Basidiomycota; Pucciniomycetes; Pucciniales; Crossopsoraceae.